ACCCGCGUACAUGCCACCGGGGCAUCCCGGAGGCAGGAAAGGCUUCGGCCGGACAGGGAUGGGCAUGCGGCGCAUUAGGCAGUAGGCGGGGUAACGGCCCACCUAACCGACGAUGCGUAGGGGUUCUGAGAGGAAGGUCCCCCACACUGGUACUGAGACACGGACCAGACUCCUACGGGAGGCAGCAGUGAGGAAUAUUGGUCAAUGGUCGGGAGACUGAACCAGCCAAGCCGCGUGAGGGAUGAAGGUACAGAGUAUCGUAAACCUCUUUUGUCAGGGAACAAAGGCGGGGACGUGUCCCCGGAUGAGUGUACCUGAAGAAAAAGCAUCGGCUAACUCCGUGCCAGCAGCCGCGGUAAUACGGAGGAUGCGAGCGUUAUCCGGAUUUAUUGGGUUUAAAGGGUGCGCAGGCGGUCUGUUAAGUCAGCGGUCAAAGCCCGGGGCUCAACCCCGGCCUGCCGUUGAAACUGGCAGUCUCGAGUUGGAGAGAAGUAUGCGGAAUGCGCGGUGUAGCGGUGAAAUGCAUAGAUAUCGCGCAGAACUCCGAUUGCGAAGGCAGCAUGCCGGCUCCACACUGACGCUGAGGCACGAAAGCGUGGGUAUCGAACAGGAUUAGAUACCCUGGUAGUCCACGCAGUAAACGAU
Molecule: ribosomal RNA, 645 nt
Filed under: uncultured bacterium
Lineage: Bacteria
Description: bacterial SSU rRNA
Rfam family: Bacterial small subunit ribosomal RNA
Source: RNAcentral